This 27-nucleotide non-coding RNA is filed under the name Mus musculus (house mouse). Lineage: Eukaryota; Metazoa; Chordata; Mammalia; Rodentia; Muridae. The record is from RNAcentral.
UAAAGGGAAACAGACGGAAGGAAGAGG